AGCAGUCGCCGCGGUAAUACGAAGGGUGCAAGCGUUAAUCGGAAUUACUGGGCGUAAAGCGUGCGUAGGCGGUUUGUUAAGUCUGUUGUGAAAUCCCCGGGCUCAACCUGGGAAUGGCAAUGGAUACUGGCAAGCUAGAGUGUGUAAGAGGAUGGUGGAAUUCCCGGUGUAGCAGUGAAAUGCGUAGAGAUCGGAAGGAACAUCUGUGGCGAAGGCGACUAUCUGGGCCAACACUGACACUGAGGCACGAAAGCGUGGGAGCAAACAGGAUUAGAUACCCCGGUAGUCCCUGUCUCUUAUACA
Molecule: ribosomal RNA, 303 nt
Filed under: uncultured bacterium
Lineage: Bacteria
Description: partial 16S ribosomal RNA
Rfam family: Bacterial small subunit ribosomal RNA
Source: RNAcentral